Molecule: ribosomal RNA, 506 nt
Filed under: uncultured Alphaproteobacteria bacterium
Lineage: Bacteria; Pseudomonadati; Pseudomonadota; Alphaproteobacteria
Description: bacterial SSU rRNA
Rfam family: Bacterial small subunit ribosomal RNA
Source: RNAcentral
ACCAGAGAUGGAAUCCUUCAGUUCGGCUGGACCGGAGACAGGUGCUGCAUGGCUGUCGUCAGCUCGUGUCGUGAGAUGUUGGGUUAAGUCCCGCAACGAGCGCAACCCUCGCCUUUAGUUGCCAUCAUUUAGUUGGGCACUCUAAAGGGACUGCCGGUGAUAAGCCGGAGGAAGGUGGGGAUGACGUCAAGUCCUCAUGGCCCUUACGGGUUGGGCUACACACGUGCUACAAUGGCGGUGACAGUGGGCAGCUACUUCGCAAGGAGAAGCUAAUCCCAAAAAGCCGUCUCAGUUCAGAUUGCACUCUGCAACUCGGGUGCAUGAAGUUGGAAUCGCUAGUAAUCGCUAAUCAGCAGGUAGCGGUGAAUACGUUCCCGGGCCUUGUACACACCGCCCGUCACACCAUGGGAGUUGGUCUUACCUGAAGACGGUGUGCUAACCAGCAAUGGAGGCAGCCGGCCACGGUAAGGUCAGCGACUGGGGUGAAGUCGUAACAAGGUAGCCGU